UCCCAAAUAGUCUAGGCGGUUAGGAUACGUGGCUUUCACCCACGCGACCCGGGUAGGAGGCCCGGUUUGGGAA
Molecule: transfer RNA, 73 nt
Filed under: Phytophthora infestans (potato late blight agent)
Lineage: Eukaryota; Oomycota; Peronosporomycetes; Peronosporales; Peronosporaceae
Description: tRNA-Glu
Rfam family: tRNA
About the family: Transfer RNA (tRNA) molecules are approximately 80 nucleotides in length.
Source: RNAcentral